GUAGCUCAGUCGGGUGAGCGCCCGCUUCUCACGCAAGAGAUGCGGGUUCGAAUCCCGGCGCUGACA
Molecule: transfer RNA, 66 nt
Filed under: Plutella xylostella (diamondback moth)
Lineage: Eukaryota; Metazoa; Arthropoda; Insecta; Lepidoptera; Plutellidae
Description: tRNA-Glu
Rfam family: tRNA
About the family: Transfer RNA (tRNA) molecules are approximately 80 nucleotides in length.
Source: RNAcentral